Molecule: ribosomal RNA, 435 nt
Filed under: uncultured bacterium
Lineage: Bacteria
Description: partial 16S ribosomal RNA
Rfam family: Bacterial small subunit ribosomal RNA
Source: RNAcentral
AGCGAACGCUGGCGGCAGGCUUAACACAUGCAAGUCGAACGGGCUUCUUCGGAAGUCAGUGGCAGACGGGUGAGUAACACGUGGGAACGUGCCCUUCGGUUCGGAAUAACUCAGGGAAACUUGAGCUAAUACCGGAUACGCCCUUUUGGGGAAAGGUUUACUGCCGAAGGAUCGGCCCGCGUCGGAUUAGCUUGUUGGUCGGGUAACGGCGUACCAAGGCGACGAUCAGUAGCUGGUCUGAGAGGAUGAUCAGCCACACUGGGACUGAGACACGGCCCAGACUCCUACGGGAGGCAGCAGUGGGGAAUAUUGGACAAUGGGCGCAAGCCUGAUCCAGCCAUGCCGCGUGAGUGAUGAAGGCCUUAGGGUUGUAAAGCUCUUUUGUCCGGGACGAUAAUGACGGUACCGGAAGAAUAAGCCCCGGCUAACUUCGUG